Molecule: ribosomal RNA, 976 nt
Filed under: Cuscuta pentagona
Lineage: Eukaryota; Viridiplantae; Streptophyta; Magnoliopsida; Solanales; Convolvulaceae
Description: eukaryotic LSU rRNA
Rfam family: Eukaryotic large subunit ribosomal RNA
Source: RNAcentral
CGACCCCAGGUCAGGCGAGACUACCCGCUGAGUUUAAGCAUAUCAAUAAGCGGAGGAGAAGAAACUUACAAGGAUUUCCUUAGUAACGGCGAGAAAUGGGAACAGCCCAGCCUUAGAAUCGAAUGGUUCUGCCGUUUGAAUUGUAGUCUGGAGAAGCGUCCUUAGCGGCGGACUGGGCCCAAGUCCCCUGGAAAGGGGCGCCGGAGAGGGUGAGAGCCCCGUCGGGCCUAGACCCUGUCGCACCACGAGGUGCUGUCUUAGAGUCGGGUUGUUUGGGAAUGCAGCCCAAAUUUGGUGGUGAAUUCCGUCCAAGGCUAAAUACAGGUGAGAGCCCGAUAGCGAACAAGUACCGCGAGGGAAAGAUGAAAAGAACUUUGAAAAAAGAGCCAAAGAGUGCUUGAAAUUGUCGAGAGGGAAGCGGAUGGAGACCGGCGAUGGGCCCAGGUUGGAUGUGGAACGGUGGUUAGCCGGUCUGCUGAUAGGCUCUGGGUGUGGAUCAGCGAGAAUUCAGGUGGCGGUUGAAGCUCGGGCAUUUGAUAUGCUAGGGGAAUGCCGUCUCUUGUAUUGUGGGAAGUAGUGCGCGCCCCGCGCGUGCUUCGGCACCUGCGUACUCAGGUCGUUGACUUGUGGGCUCUCCAUUCGACCCGUCUUGAAACACGGACCAAGGAGUCUGACAUGUGUGCGAGUUGGCGAGUGGAAAAACUCGCAAGGCGUAAGGAAGCUGAUUGGCGGGAUCCCUCUUCGGGGUGCACCGUCGACCGACCUUGAUCUUUUGAGAAGGGUUUGAGUGUGAGCAUACCUGUUGGGACCCGAAAGAUGGUGAACUAUGCCUGAGCGGGGUGAAGCCAGAAGAAACUCUGGUGGAAGCCCGCAGCGAUACUGACGUGCAAAUCGUUCGUCUGACUUGGGUAUAGGGGCGAAAGACUAAUCGAACCGUCUAGUAGCUGGUUCCCUCCGAAGUUUCCCUCAGGAUAGC